This 273-nucleotide ribosomal RNA is filed under the name uncultured bacterium. RNAcentral describes it as "partial 16S ribosomal RNA". It matches the Rfam family "Bacterial small subunit ribosomal RNA", at positions 523 to 796 of the family's 1533-position model. The record is from RNAcentral.
AUACGGAGGGUGCAAGCGUUGUGCGGAAUCACUGGGCGUAAAGGGCGCGCAGGCGGUUUGGUAAGUCAGAUGUGAAAGCCCACGGCUCAACCGUGGAAGUGCAUUGAAACUGUCAGACUUGAGUACUAGAGGGGAAAGUGGAAUUCCCGGUGUAGAGGUGAAAUUCGUAGAUAUCGGGAGGAAUACCGGUGGCGAAGGCGACUUUCUGGCUAGAUACUGACGCUGAGGCGCGAAAGCGUGGGGAGCAAACAGGAUUAGAAACCCGAGUAGUCC